Molecule: ribosomal RNA, 301 nt
Filed under: uncultured bacterium
Lineage: Bacteria
Description: partial 16S ribosomal RNA
Rfam family: Bacterial small subunit ribosomal RNA
Source: RNAcentral
CAGCCGCCGCGGUAAUACGUAGGGUGCGAGCGUUAAUCGGAAUUACUGGGCGUAAAGCGUGCGCAGGCGGUUAUAUAAGACAGUUGUGAAAUCCCCGGGCUCAACCUGGGAACUGCAUCUGUGACUGUAUAGCUAGAGUACGGUAGAGGGGGAUGGAAUUCCGCGUGUAGCAGUGAAAUGCGUAGAUAUGCGGAGGAACACCGAUGGCGAAGGCAAUCCCCUGGACCUGUACUGACGCUCAUGCACGAAAGCGUGGGGAGCAAACAGGAUUAGAUACCCCCGUAGUCCCUGUCUCUUAUAC